AGUGAACGCUGGCGGCAUGCCUAACACAUGCAAGUCGAACGGCAGCACAGCAGUAGCAAUACUGUGGGUGGCGAGUGGCGGACGGGUGAGGAACACAUCGGAAUUUGCCCAGUCGUGGGGGAUAACGUAGGGAAACUUACGCUAAUACCGCAUACGACCUUACGGUGAAAGCGGGGGAUCGCAAGACCUCGCGCGGAUGGAUGAGCCGAUGUCGGAUUAGCUAGUUGGUGGGGUAAAGGCCUACCAAGGCGACGAUCCGUAGCUGGUCUGAGAGGAUGAUCAGCCACACUGGGACUGAGACACGGCCCAGACUCCUACGGGAGGCAGCAGUGGGGAAUAUUGGACAAUGGGGGCAACCCUGAUCCAGCAAUGCCGCGUGUGUGAAGAAGGCCUUCGGUUGUAAGCACUUUAUCCGGUAACGAACGUAGCGGGUGGAAUAGCCUCGUAAACUGACGGUACCGGAGGAAGUAAGCACCGGCUAACUUCGUGCCAGC
RNAcentral lists this ribosomal RNA (494 nucleotides) under uncultured bacterium. RNAcentral's name for it is "bacterial SSU rRNA". It matches the Rfam family "Bacterial small subunit ribosomal RNA", at positions 29 to 512 of the family's 1533-position model. The record is from RNAcentral.